Seriola aureovittata is the source of this 1287-nucleotide long non-coding RNA. RefSeq lists it as uncharacterized. Lineage: Eukaryota; Metazoa; Chordata; Actinopteri; Carangiformes; Carangidae. The transcript has 3 exons. The record is from RefSeq and is a predicted model, not a curated record.
CACCAUGCUCUAAUGUUUACGGUGACUGUGACAGGCGACCUGGCGUCGGUAGCAAUUUGGUUCAACCACACGACUUUUAUCCAGAAUCUGACCCAGAGGGAGAGGCUGCUGAAGAAGUUCAAACUCUACAACUGCAGCAAGACGUUUCUGAAUGUUUGGUGCUCCUGUGGAAACUGUGCAACCAUGCCCACAGAAGCUGAGAAUAUCUGCUGCUAGGAGAUACCACAGGUUACCAGACGGCUAUGGGAGAUCGAGGAAGAUUUACCAUGUAUGGUAGACCGUCCUGGGUUGGAGCUUGCCUCAAUGUGUACUCCCUCCAGAAUGCCUGCAACAUGUACCGCACUGACUAUGGUCCUUUACGGUUGAGUGGAAUACACCAGUACGUUUUGCUUCUUUGUUAAAACAUAGUUUCAAUCUAAAUAAAAUAUGUUAGGCAGUCUUGUUUUACUUCAGUGCACAUAUUUUUACAAUGGUAAUAACACACUACAAAUAGAGUAACACACCCUCAAAUAAAUUAGUUUAGCUGCUCUUUGAUUUGUAAAGUUCUUUUAUCAGCAGAUAGUGUGCAUAUAAUAUAUGAAUUCAGAGGAGUCAUUUCUUUAGUAACAAUCAAGUAUUUAUUUACAUCAAAUGAGGGACUUAUAAUCAGUGAUAAUAAAAAAACUGUAGGAUUCACUGGAUCGGUAAAAAAAAAUUGUGAGACACAUCAUAGAUAUAUGUUUGAAAGACUAAAUGCCCUGUCCAGUUGUUUUAGUCAGUACAGGUAUCUAGCCUAUAGGAGCUUUGUGAGCUGGUGCUGGGGCUUCCUUGGUCGCAGAAUCCGGGUUGUCAUUCCAGCCUGCCUGGUCCUACGCAUCCAUGCCGAGUUUCCUGACGCCACAUGCCCCAGUACGUGGGUUUUAGACUGGCCCAUGAUAGAACCGGGACACAGAGCUGGAUAUGACCUCCUCCUUCUCAGGCCGCUCGAACUGUGCAGUGAGGUCCUCUGGGAUUUGGAUGGCCAAAGCAGCUUCUGUGUAUGGUCCCAGGUCAACAAAGACUUUUUCAAAUAUGAGGUCCACCACAUUCCCUGUUUGAUAAAACACAAAAGAUUUUGUUUACAUUUUUCACUUUUUUUUGUUGUUUUUUACAAAACAAUGACUGAAAGUCUGUUUCUAACUUCUUCUUUACUGUAUUUUGUUGUUGAUGGAACUGUCAUAACAUUAUACGUGCAAUACUCAAUACAAUGUGUACAAAACAUUUUUUGGUUGAAAAAUAAAAUAAUAUAACACACCUUUGGAAAUUGGA